RNAcentral lists this small nucleolar RNA (123 nucleotides) under Bos grunniens (domestic yak). RNAcentral's name for it is "Small nucleolar RNA SNORA17 (ENSBGRG00000025919.1)". It matches the Rfam family "Small nucleolar RNA SNORA43", at positions 13 to 136 of the family's 138-position model. From Rfam's summary of the family: ACA43 is a member of the H/ACA class of snoRNA that guide the sites of modification of uridines to pseudouridines. Lineage: Eukaryota; Metazoa; Chordata; Mammalia; Artiodactyla; Bovidae. The record is from RNAcentral.
UUUGCGGCACCACGGGUGCAGCCGCCCUGCUGCGCCUGUGCCGUUGGGGCAGAGAGGAAGCGGCUAUUUCUACGCUCAGUGCUCAGAACCGUGGGCACUAAGAAUGGUUUGUAGCCGAACAUC